AUGAACGCUGGCGGCGUGCCUAAUACAUGCAAGUCGAGCGAACAGAUAAGGAGCUUGCUCCUUUGACGUUAGCGGCGGACGGGUGAGUAACACGUGGAUAACCUACCUAUAAGACUGGGAUAACUUCGGGAAACCGGAGCUAAUACCGGAUAACAUAUUGAACCGCAUGGUUCAAUAGUGAAAGGCGGCUUUGCUGUCACUUAUAGAUGGAUCCGCGCCGUAUUAGCUAGUUGGUAAGGUAACGGCUUACCAAGGCAACGAUACGUAGCCGACCUGAGAGGGUGAUCGGCCACACUGGAACUGAGACACGGUCAAGACUCCUACGGGAGGCAGCAGUAGGGAAUCUUCCGCAAUGGGCGAAAGCCUGACGGAGCAACGCCGCGUGAGUGAUGAAGGUCUUCGGAUCGUAAAACUCUGUUAUCAGGGAAGAACAAAUGUGUAAGUAACUGUGCACAUCUUGACGGUACCUGAUCAGAAAGCCACGGCUAACUACGUG
RNAcentral lists this ribosomal RNA (496 nucleotides) under uncultured bacterium. RNAcentral's name for it is "partial 16S ribosomal RNA". It matches the Rfam family "Bacterial small subunit ribosomal RNA", at positions 29 to 507 of the family's 1533-position model. The record is from RNAcentral.